CGAGGGUAAGCGAAUCACUUAAAGUGCGUCGUAGUCCGGAUUGGAGUCUGCAACUCGACUCCAUGAAGUCGGAAUCGCUAGUAAUCGCGUAUCAGAAUGACGCGGUGAAUACGUUCCCGGGCCUUGUACACACCGCCCGUCACACCAUGGGAGUGGGUUGCUCCAGAAGUGGAUAGUCUAACUUUCGGGAGGACGUUCACCACGGAGUGAUUCAUGACUGGGGUGAAGUCGUAACAAGGUAGCCCUAGGGGAACCUGGGGCUGGAUCACCU
RNAcentral lists this ribosomal RNA (271 nucleotides) under Pseudoalteromonas sp. XI10. Its description in RNAcentral is "partial 16S ribosomal RNA". It matches the Rfam family "Bacterial small subunit ribosomal RNA", at positions 1258 to 1528 of the family's 1533-position model. The record is from RNAcentral. Lineage: Bacteria; Pseudomonadati; Pseudomonadota; Gammaproteobacteria; Alteromonadales; Pseudoalteromonadaceae.